This 864-nucleotide ribosomal RNA is filed under the name Saxifraga aspera. RNAcentral's name for it is "eukaryotic LSU rRNA". The stretch from base 383 to 538 matches the Rfam family "5.8S ribosomal RNA". Lineage: Eukaryota; Viridiplantae; Streptophyta; Magnoliopsida; Saxifragales; Saxifragaceae. The record is from RNAcentral.
GUGUUCGGAUCGCGGCGAUGUGGGCGGUUCGCUGCCCGCGACGUCGCGAGAAGUCCAUUGAACCUUAUCAUUUAGAGGAAGGAGAAGUCGUAACAAGGUUUCCGUAGGUGAACCUGCGGAAGGAUCAUUGUCGUAACCUGCGAAAGCAAAGCAACUCGCGAACACGUAGCUAACAAUCGGGGAUCCAAGUGUGUCUCCCCCGGGGGACGCCCUUUCUUCCCAACGUCGGGACGGCUCGUUGCGAGUUAACGACCUCCGGGCCUUCCCGAUGCAACAAAAAACCGGCGCGAAAUGCGCCAAGGAACAUGAAAGAGAGUGCGCUCUUCCGGGGUCAGCUCGCGCUGUGCUCGGACGGGCGUCGUCUUCUUGAUGAGUUUAUAAUGACUCUCGGCAACGGAUAUCUCGGCUCUUACAUCGAUGAAGAACGUAGCAAAAUGCGAUACUUGGUGUGAAUUGCAGAAUCCCGUGAACCAUCGAGUCUUUGAACGCAAGUUGCGCCCGAAUCCAUCUGGUCGAGGGCACGUCUGCCUGGGUGUCACGUACACGCGUCUCCCGCGAACCUUCCCCUUCGAGGAUGAAGGGUCUCGUGGGAGCAGAUAUUGGUAUCCCGUGCCCGUUUCGCGCGGUUUGCCUAAAAACGGAGAGCCUGUGACGAAACGUCACGCCUAGUGGUGGUUAACAAGGCCUAACGGCCGACCAGUUCGUGGCGUGCGCGUCUGUCGCAAGGAAGUCUCAAACGACACCUUGAACGUUCCCUAUCGGGGCGUGCUCAAUCGCGACCCCAGGUCAGGCGGGACUACCCGCUGAAUUUAACCAUAUCAAUAAGCGGAGGAAGAGAAACUUACAAGGAUUCCCUUAGUAACG